RNAcentral lists this ribosomal RNA (98 nucleotides) under Piliocolobus tephrosceles (Ugandan red Colobus). Lineage: Eukaryota; Metazoa; Chordata; Mammalia; Primates; Cercopithecidae. The record is from RNAcentral.
UGUAAUGGCCAUACCGCCCUGAAAGGCGCCUGAUCUCUUUUGAUCUUAGAAGCUAAACAGGGUCAGGCCGGGUUAGUACUGGCCGGGCACGGUGGCUC